Molecule: long non-coding RNA, 3528 nt
Organism: Diorhabda carinulata
Lineage: Eukaryota; Metazoa; Arthropoda; Insecta; Coleoptera; Chrysomelidae
Exons: 2
Source: RefSeq, a predicted model, not a curated record
AAUAUUGAAGAAAAAAUAAGAAUUGCUUAGUUAAAAAAGUUAACCUCUCUCUGUUUAUAUUUUCUCUUGUGUAAACUCAAAAUAAUUACAUAUUUUGUGAUGGAUUAUACUGUAGGAAGUAUAGCUGAUUCAAUAACACUGAUGAUAAAAUUAAAGUCAAGAGAAUUUCAGUCAAACUAAACGAAUAGAAACAAGGUAAGGGUAGAAAGUUGGAUAUCAACAACAAGUAAACGAGGGAGGAAACAUCUGAAAAAUCUGAAAAAAAACAUGCUUAUUAACUAGUAAAAAUAAUAUAAAUUAACACGAUAAUGAAGUGAGUAGCUCGGAAUCUAUUUUGAAAACAAAAGAGGAAGAAAAAACGCAAAGAAAAAAAUGGUAUGAGUGAUAAUCAACAACGAGAGAAUGUAGAUAAUAUUUCAUCAAUAAUUUCUAAUAAAAUGAAAAAUAAAAAAAAAGUAUCUACUGAUGGAUGGCAGCACAGUUGAUGGUGAAAAAGAACAAUUAAAUAAGGAUAAGGAUAAUACAGAACGAAGUCCAAAAAAAUUAAGAUUUGUCAAACAAGAAGAUGCUCAAAAUGCGGCAAAAUGGUGAUGUUUUCAAAGAAAAGCAUUUGUGUGAUUAGUGCAAGGCAAUAUUUGUUAGAAAUUUGAAUUUCUGUAAGUAUAAUCAAUGUCAUACAUAUUUUUGAAUAUUCCUUUGAGAUCUAGGGAGCUGAAGAAAAGCAGUUAUGGAAAUUAUUUGAACCUUGUGGUUUGAUAGAAUCAGCUGUUAGAAUUGUCAGAGACCCUGGUACCAGUAUGGAAAAAGGAUUUAGAUAUGUCAAUUUCAAAGAUGCCUAUGCUGUACAAUCAGAUUUCCAAAUGGAAAAUGUGAAACUUGGUGAUCGGGAAUUGAGAAUAAAAAGCGAGUUGUAUAACUGAUUGCGUAUAUGUAGGCGCUACAAAAACACGUUCAGUAAAAAUCAAACAAUAAAAUUGAAUUUCCACGAAAACCAUUGUUCAAGUUCGAAAACUGAUGUGAUUUUCGGAAUCUCCAUGAGAAAAUGCAUGAUACCAAGUGUUUUUUGGAUACUUACUUUUUUCUGAUGUGAUUAGAUAGUUUUUUUUUUAAAUAUCAAAUUUGUAUAUAAUAUAGUCUCAUUGCUCAAAUUCGAAAACUGAUGUGAUUUUCGGAAUCUCCAUGGGAAAAUACAUGAUACCACGCGUUUUUUAUACUUUCCUUUUUCUGAUGUGAUUAAAUAGUUGUUUUUAAAAAUAUUAAAUUUGAAUUUGAUUAAUUUAGUCUCACUCUUAAGGAGAGGCAAUGUAUCAUACAGAAUAUUCAGAAUAUUGGUUGAAUAACAGGAAAAAGACUAUUAAUAGUUUCCAGCGUCGCUCUGUAGACAGCGACAAAAUCGUAAAAUCAUAGGUUCCAUUGAAUGUAAUGUUUCUAGAAAAUAGUUAAUUUUAUAUUUCGGCACCAAUAAAAGUAUAAUAAAGCUGCAAUCCCUCAAAAUAAGAAAAAGGAAGUCCAUCAUAAAAUAUUAAAUUCUUUUAACUAAAUACCGACAUGGAUAGAACUUACCCGUAUACUAAAAAUAGUUUUAGGUAUUUUUGCAAACUCUGAAAUUGUAUUAUAUUUUUGAAUAUGAAAAUUUUACAUAUAGUGUAGCUCCAUACAAAAUAAUUGAAGUUAUAUAAUUAUCACUUUAAUAAUAAAAUUAGAAAACGCCAAGUAUCACCAAUCAAUAGUUUAAAGUAUCCAUGUUCAUUAAAUUUAAUGAUAAUCUACGUAUGAGUAGCAAAAAAUUUGAAUUUCUUUUUAGGACACUAGAUACAUAUAUAAUUUCAUUAGUGAUUACAGGUAGGUACAUGAAAAUGUUUAUUAAGUAAAGAAAGAACGUAGAAUUUAUACAGUGUUAAAUUUAAUUCAAGUUUUGAAAAUUUCUGUUUCAUUUUCUAUAAAUAAAGCCUUUAUCAAGUGCUGAAUUUUGGAUACAUUUAGAAUAGGAAUUACAAAAGAAAACAUCUAGAAGAGGUAUAUCAGUUUGCUUAAAUAAACAAAAAAGGGUGGUUGGUUUUCGAAGACAUCUAAUAAUUUCAGUAUCAUUCUUGGAACAAAUAAAAAGUAGGUAGUAGAGGGUUAUUUUUCAAUAACACAUUUAUAUUCUUGAUAUAACAAAUGUAGCAAAAAAAAGUAAAUUCUUUGAAGGAUAAAGAAAGGGUCUGAAAGGUUCCACAAUUUAUCAAAAUAUUACAUUUGGACCAUAAAAUAAACAUAAGAUUUUAAAAAUAGAAUAACAAUCCCUCGAAAGAUAUUGAAAUAUCAACCCUUGAAACUAUCUUCUACCUACCUACGAAUUAUUGUACCCCGAGAAGCUCAUACAAGAAAUUAAAUAAUUGAAAAGUGAAUGUUUAAAUACCAAUCAGUCACUUGAAAAAUAUUUUCAAUUUUCUUGACAACUUCAUUGGUUUAUUUUUUUUUUUGAGAAAAAAAUAUAUUGAAGCAUUUAAGUUUCAUGAACAAAUUGCGCACUGAAUUUAAACAGCAAAUUAUUUUCUAUUUCCUAUAUCUACCAAUUAUCGAACAAGAUGAACGAAUACCAGAAAAAAAUAUAUUUGACACGUUGACAUAGAAAGUCUUGUAUGAAAGAGAAAACUCAAAUAUUAGUUUAGUAACAACAACAAUAUGUGAAAGGUUAUUUCAGUUUCAGCUGAGUUUAUAUUAGUUUAUUAACAAGAAUUAAAAUCAUUAUACCUGUUUCAUAAUAAGCAAAUUCUACAAUUUCUAUAUAUUGAAGUCAAGUGAAAAAUAAAUACUCGUAAUUAUGAUAUACAUUUUUAUUUGAUAGUUGUAUAAAGUACAUCCGAUUCGCUUAAAUACCAAAGGACACAUUAUGAUCCUUAUCACAUAACAUAUGACUAGAUGGUAACCAGAAUUAUUGUCAACGUAUAGAAUUUUAUGUCAAUUUAAUAAGAAGUCAGUACAAAAAAAAUAUCCACACAUCAGGUACUUUUGAAUAAGUACCAAAGAAAUUAGUAUAAAUCUCAUUUUAAAUUACCUACAUCUAUUCGUAAUACCCUUUAUAUAAAAAUACAAAUAUCUUGUUGAAAUACAUGGGAGAGUCGUUAUUUUUGAAGUAUUAGACAAAUGAACAUUACUUAAUUAACUUUCUUUAUUGUUUUUAAAAAAGAAAAAUUUGUAACUUAAAAUAUUCAUUUCUUUUUAUUAAUAAACGACCCUACGCCAAGCAUUAACCAAACUUAUUGUUUUUCUUUUGGACUUUUCAGUCUAUAGCACCAAAUCACAAGAUAUUAAAAAAUUAAAUAGUGAGAUCCUCCCAAUCCUCUUUUUCGCGUGGAGAUAACACAAUUUGUAAAUGGGAUACUCUUGACAAUUGAUCGUAUAUUCUAGGCGCCAAUGGGUUGUUUGUGAGAUCUAUUGAUUCUAAUGAAGGAGCUUCUUUCAAACAAUCUACGUCCAAAUCUACAACAAAGAAAAUUAUUUUACACCUAUUAUAUGUAUAUUUAAGGUAACUUCAGAAAUAAA